Molecule: unclassified non-coding RNA, 323 nt
Filed under: soil metagenome
Description: partial contains 5.8S ribosomal RNA, internal transcribed spacer 2, and large subunit ribosomal RNA
Rfam family: 5.8S ribosomal RNA (bases 1-120)
Source: RNAcentral
GAUGAAGAACGCAGCGAAAUGCGAUAAGUAGUGUGAAUUGCAGAAUUCAGUGAAUCAUCGAAUCUUUGAACGCACAUUGCGCCCUGUGGUAUUCCGCAGGGCAUGCCUGUUCGAGCGUCAUUUCAACCCUCAAGCUCCGCUUGGUGUUGGGCCCUGCCCCCGCGGCCGGCCCCAAAGACAGUGGCGGCGCCGCUUGGCCCUAAGCGUAGUACAUCUCUCGCUCUAGGACCCGGCGGUGGCCUGCCAGAACCCCCAACUCAUGUGGUUGACCUCGGAUCAGGUAGGGAUACCCGCUGAACUUAAGCAUAUCAAUAAGCGGAGGA